RNAcentral lists this non-coding RNA (29 nucleotides) under Homo sapiens (human). Lineage: Eukaryota; Metazoa; Chordata; Mammalia; Primates; Hominidae. The record is from RNAcentral.
UGACAUGACCCUGAGAAUUUCAUUCUAGU